UAAGCCUCUUAUAAUGGUGAAGUGUAUAUAAGAUUAUCGGGAUUUUGCGUCCUUUUGAAUUCACCGUAUAGUAACAUAAGAGGCUUAACUGUAUUUCUUUGUUUUGCUGGCCCAAUUUGUACUGAUAAGCAUUGAAUAGGCGAAACUACAAUAUUCAGCAGAGGUUACGGCCAAUCAAAGAAUGCAUUAGGCCUCUCUACAUCAUAAAUUUAUCCUGUAAUGUUUUCUUGUACGAGAAACUCUUGGCGCAGUGCAUCAUGGCUUAUUCUCAAGCAGUAAUAAUAAAAAAAACACAACUCGUAAACUUUUGUAUGUCAGUAAUCUGUUUACUUUCGUAUUUAUAUAAUGCUUAGACUAGGCUUUAUUUAAAAUUUGAUUUUUAAUAUAAACUUUAAUUUUUAAGUCCACACUAAUAUUUACAUAAAAGUAUUGUCUUAAAAUAUUCAUUAUGUUAACUCGUUUGAAAGUACAUAACUUGGAGUAACAUUUGCGCCUCACGUAAAUAUGAUAGAUGUGUAUGCAAACGUUUAGUAAUCUUUGCUACCAUUUUUGUUUGUUUGCUUAGAUUCAGAUCGCGGUUGGUCCUAUAAUAGAGCUCAGAAUUAUGAAGCUGGCGAGCCAAGUUCGAAUCCAUAAGAUACCAGAAACAUUCCUCGCACUUUAAGUUGUGAGUACGUUAUAAAAAUGACAGUCGAUCCAUUAGCGUGGAUGGUGGAUGAUAGGAAGCUCUGACUGGCUGUCUUCCAUGCGGUCAGUAGUUCAAAAUAAGCUCAUUAGUGCCCAUUAUCCUGUUUACAGUACUCUAAAACUUCUGCAAAAUAUUUGUCAUAUGUAGAAGGAACGAGCCAAGUUAAGUUUACAGUUGUGCACACGUAAACAAACCCUCAGUUGAAGCUUCGACUUGGAAGCGUGAAGACGUUCUUGCUCUGACUUGACCUACUUUUCUUCAAAGUGGGGUCCAAACAGCAGUGGAAAGAAUUGAUAUGGGAAAAAAAGAACAAGGGAAACAAAGUUCAUCUCUUUGAUCAGCGAUGGUUCAACAAAUACAUCCGUGAUGGAGGAAGAGAUUUCGUAUGUUCGGUAUGCCAUCAAUGGGGCAUUGGCUAUUGACCUUGUUGCUGUGGCCAAUAUUGCAACUGCAGACGGGGAAUCAAUCACAGCCUUGAUGAAAGCAUUGACCAGAUCUGUGUUCAAAGGAAGUCUGUUGGGUUUGGAUCAGAUGGGGCGGCGGUUAUGCUCGGGAGGAAUCAAGGAUUAGCUGCAAACCUGAAACAGAUCAGUCCACCUCUGUUGGCCAUACACUGCACUGCUCAUCGUCUUGAAAUUGCGUAUAAGGAUGCAAUGAAGAGUAUUCCGUUACUUGUCACACAAAGUUCAUUCCUCCUCAACAUUUACAAGUUCUACAGAACUGUUCACAAAAAGGGAGUGGAUUGAACUUAGCAACGGAGGCAGUAGAGGACGCUGUAGCAGUACCUAGGAGAGCUGGAGGAACUAGAUGGCUGCCUCAUCUGAAACUGUAUUUAAACAGAUAAUAAGAAGAUCCCACCUAUAUGAGAUAAAUUGCAACUGGAUCAAACUGGGAUCAUUUAGUCAAAGACUGAUUUGUAAAAUUGUAGCAUAGCAAGUUUCAUAAUUAGAACAGUUUGAAUGUUGAAGACUAUGUCAUUAAAUAUUUUUUUUUAAAUAACUGUAACCGUCAUUGCAAUCAGUCUCUUAUAACUCCAUUCUGUUUAUUUCCAUCCUUGAAAUAGCUUGAAACACACAACCAGGGUAUUUGACUGAUGCUAAGACCAAAGCCAAAGGCUUUCUUGAAGCUCCUAAAGCUGAUAGACAUGAUAAAGUUCUUCCAAUUUAUGCUUAAUGUGGUGGUAACACUGUCAUCUGUGUCAUUCACUUCACAGAAAACGAAUUCGACUGUGGCUUUUCUUAUCACUCUUCAGAAGUAUAAGACCAGGAAAACAACUCCUCAUCUAUAGGGUCUUAAGAAUGGUGAUUUGAAUGGUGAGAAAUUGAUAGGAACUGAAGAUAUUGAAGGUGACAUGACAUCUGUGCUAGAUCACCUUAAAGAGAGCCUCCAUGGACGAUUUGAAGACAUUACCAAUGGUGUCUUGGAGGCAAUGCAAAUUGUUAGCUUUAACUUCUGGCCAGAAGAUGACGCAGGGGUUAACUAUGCUAUAACCGAUACUGCAUGUAGCUUUUAGUAGUACUUUGGAAAUGAUGCUGUGGUAACUUUGUCCAACCACUUCCAUCCUAUCUUGAAGCAAGCUGGCAUUGAUGAAGAGAAGAUGAGUGUUGAGUGGGACCUUCUGAAAGCACGGAUGUAUUCAAAACAUAACAAGAAAGGCCAACCAUGGGCUGAUAUCAUCCCUAGGAUUAAGGAGGAACUACCUAAUAUCUGUGGCCUCUUUGACCUGAUAUUGUCUGUUGUAGCCAACCUUGCUGAGGCUGAGAGAGGAUUCAGCAAGAUGAAGAUGAUCAAGACCAACUUGAGAUCUUAUCUGUGAGCUUACAGGAUUAUUGAUCAGCUUCUGGUCAUGCUCCACUCACCUCCAAUAAGUGACUUUGACCCCAUAACAGCUAUCCAUCUUUGUAACUCACGAAAAAUACUUCGCUCAAGGAGACCAAAUACUGGCAGAGUACAGAUUGAGAAGCAGGUGCAUUUGAGUGAAGAAGAAGGGGAUGAAGGAAGAAUCCAAGAAAUGGAUGUUGGGACAUAAUUGGACACUGAUAUUGAUGUAUAUAAAUUUCCUUUCAUUAUUUAUUUUAUUUAGGAAAGGACACUACUUUAAAAGGACAUAUUACAUUGACAGUGAUGCAUAUUUUUAUGAACAUUUAUUUUGAUUAUUAAAGGGCAACAAGAAGUUACUGUUAUACCAUGUUGUACAGAGAAAUUAAAUAUCAUAUAUGAAAUAAAGAUCAUUUAAGUGGUAUGAAGAAAAAAAAAGGUUUGAGUUGUGUUUGUUUUCACGAAGUACCAGUUCAGAACAAAAUAAAUUGAGAUAUGUUGAUAUCUUUAGUUUCCUUCCAAUUUAUAUAACAUCCUCUAUUUAAUUCAGUGAUUUUUCUGAUAACCUCCACUUUUUACAAUGAGCUAUAGGUUUGGCCCUUAAAAUGCUUGCGGGCCUCUAAAAAUGUAUGUUUUGGGGACCCGGCUGGCUCCCUAAAAAAAAAGAAGUUAAACAUGAGCCAUGCAUAUUGAAGACUAUUAUUUGUGAAUCCAAACAAUAUGCAGCUAAUAAUGUAGAUAUUAAUGACUUAAAAGCUGUUUUAGAAAAAACAGUCGAACGCCAUUAACGUUACGUUCAUGAGAGCUGCGAUGUUAUUGGAAACGACAUUAUUUGGGACCCAAUUCCCCAUUAGUAUAAUGAUAUAAGUUGGAGUUGUGUUCCAGCAGCAUAAUUGAACGUCCUAUACAUAACAAAAGCAACGAAAAUUACAAAGUAUAGUACAAUAAUAAACAUUAAUAAAUAAUACGUACCAUUGUACAAUACUGACAAAAAACUUGAUAUGGUAAUGGUUUAGUAAUGCCAGUAAAGCUAACCCACUGAAGGAAUUUACAGAAAGAAUGUUUAG
RNAcentral lists this long non-coding RNA (3573 nucleotides) under Limulus polyphemus (Atlantic horseshoe crab). Its description in RNAcentral is "uncharacterized LOC111086915, transcript variant X1". The record is from RNAcentral. Lineage: Eukaryota; Metazoa; Arthropoda; Merostomata; Xiphosura; Limulidae.